RNAcentral lists this long non-coding RNA (1135 nucleotides) under Mus musculus (house mouse). RNAcentral describes it as "long non-coding RNA chr5:151420033-151421168". The record is from RNAcentral. Lineage: Eukaryota; Metazoa; Chordata; Mammalia; Rodentia; Muridae.
GGAAUACUCACGACCUAGGACUACAGGUAAAGUUCCUGGGGACUGCAUUCAUGCUUUGGCUUCUUUACCUCCAAAUGGAGGGAGGGAGAUUUACAGGUUGCUUCCAUGGAUCACAGUAGAAUGGCAGAUGGGUCAUUUUGAACUCCUAUCUUAAUAUUACAAAUAAAUUGAGCAGAUUGCACUAUAUAGAAUCACAGUGUUUAGGGGUGGGAAGUGACCUCAGGCAUAAUUUUAGCUUAGGCAUCACCACUCUGAGGUAGAAAGGAGACUCUUGCUAGUAUUUCACAGCUUGGUGAUUCAUAGGUGUCUAUUGCUAGGUGCUUGGGUGUAAAUAGUGUGUCAUCUCUGCAUCUCUCUUUACCUGAUUCUACAUAUACAUAAAAUAAAACACCUAUAUGUUAAAGAUGUUAAAGCAUCCAUAGCCUAUAUAUUUUCAAAGAUUAAAUCACUCAAUUAUUCAAGAGUCUUGGCCCAAAGAAUUGUACAGUGUUCAUUCUUGUUGCCAUGGAAUUUCACAAGGUGCUACAUGGUUUUCAAAUGUGAUGCUAACCACAAUAAAACCAGAGCCUAUUUGAAAAGUGUUCCAUCAAUCGCAUAUGUGGGAAACAUCUGCCCUAUACACAUAGUGUCUAGUGAUCAUUCUUAGGUCGUUUGUUCUUAGUGGGGGCAAGAGAUUCUGCUUUCUGCCUGAGUCUCUGGUUGAGAACUCAAUUCAUGCAUUCAGUGUCUUCAGAGCACUGACCGACGUCAGAUGCUGUUCUAGGUUCUGGAGACAAGGUAGUGAGCAAGAAGAGCUGAAAAUCCCUGCUCCAUCUCAAAUAUAUCCAGCCAGCUCAUUAGCUAGUUCUCUUUAAAUCUCAGGACAGAUGAUGGGGCUUGGGGAACUAUCACCUGAUUGUUCAUAAACCACAAGCUAGUCGCCAGUCCCCUAUCAUACUAGACUUUAAAUUUUCCUCUUUAUCAUGCAGUUCUAAAAACAUCCAUGACUGUAUUUGCCUGUCAAAUUAUCUAACACAGAAGCAGUGUGGUCACAGCAAAUCUCUGGCUGUUUCUGUGUCACUAAAUCAUGUGUGUUACAGAGCCCUGAGGCCACUUCACCUCCUCCAUUCCCUCUUUGCUUACACUCUCUAAACCU